AAGCUGAGGAGAGGAAGAGCGCGCGCCUGUGAAUCCCCUUGGCGGAAUCGCGCAAUCGUUUCACGCAAAUAACAUCGAGCGCGAGCCCCCGGCAGCGCCAGUCCGCGCGGCGAGCAGCGGCUCGAGCCCCGGCAGACGGCAGCCCUCCUGGUUUCAUCAGGUCUUCAUGCAUGGUUUACAUUUAUGGAUGGAAACGAAGACUCUGAGAUGCCAAAAUGAUAAUUUUACAAUGCAAAAUAAAAUGGUACAAAUGCUGCGUCUGUAAGAUGUGCAUUGAAAGCCUGCUGAAAUGAGCAAAAUACAUGGAAGCUGAAAACAGUGCCAAGCUGAAAAGUUAAAUUAUCAAAUAUGCGUAUCAGCAUGAGAAGGGUUGUUCUGCUCCUUUGCUGUGCUGUUGCUACAAUAAUGGUAUUUCAUAUGGGCCAGCACAUGUGGGAGUGUCAACAAAUACUAAAUGAGAACGGAGGAUGGUUUCAUGGCCGACGAACACACAGCAUGAUGAAACCUGAAAAGGAAGAAUUUGUCAUGUAUAAUUCAAACCACAUUGAAUAUCGCUACAGUAAAAAUAUGCCCCUAAUCUUCAUAGGCGGAGUCCCACGAAGUGGGACAACAUUAAUGCGAGCCAUGAUGGAUGCACAUCCUGACAUCCGCUGUGGUGAAGAAACACGGAUCAUCCCACGUGUGCUGGCCAUGCGUCAGGUGUGGUCUAAAUCAGAACGUGAAAGGAUGCGCUUGAAUGAAGCAGGAGUGACGGACCUGGUCCUGGACUCAGCAUUGCAAGCAUUUAUCUUAGAAGUAAUUGCAAAACAUGGUGAACCUGCAAAAUAUUUGUGCAAUAAAGACCCUUUCACCUUAAAGUCUCUAAAUUAUCUAUCAAGACUGUUCUCAAACUCUAAAUUUAUAUUAAUGAUCCGAGAUGGACGAGCCUCUGUGCACUCAAUGAUUACAAGAAAAGUGACGAUUGCUGGAUUUGAUCUUAGUAGCUACAGAGAUUGUAUAAUCAAGUGGAACAAGGCUAUUGAAAUUAUGUAUAGCCAGUGUAUGGAGGUGGGAUCCUCCAGGUGUCUCUCAGUUUAUUAUGAACAGCUGGUAUUGCAUCCUAAAAAGACAAUGGAGAAGAUCAUGACAUUUUUGGAUAUUCCAUGGAGUGAUGCUGUACUGCAUCAUGAAGAAUUAAUAGGAAAAGCAGGAGGUGUCUCACUUUCAAAAAUAGAGAGAUCCACUGACCAAGUUAUCAAGCCAGUUAAUCUUGAGGCUUUGACCAAGUGGGUGGGACACAUUCCUGAUGGUGUGGUUGAGGAAAUGGCAAGGAUAGCACCAAUGUUGGCCAAAUUAGGCUAUGAUCCCAAUGCCAAUCCACCAAAUUAUGGAAAUCCUGAUGCAUUAGUAAUUAAUAACACCAAAAAGUCCAUGGGCUUCUUACUGUCGUGAUGGAACUACACUCAAGUUGAAGGAGCAACACCUUGUAUUUCUCGGUAGCCUCUAAUCUGAUGCUGUUGCAGGGUGACUUUAAAACACCUGCCAAUUUGAAAGGACCUUCUCUGGUAAAGAAUGCUUCCAUGACUGGAUCUCAGUAACAGUGCUGUAAAGACAG
Molecule: RNA transcript, 1594 nt
Organism: Hypanus sabinus (Atlantic stingray)
Lineage: Eukaryota; Metazoa; Chordata; Chondrichthyes; Myliobatiformes; Dasyatidae
Gene name: protein-tyrosine sulfotransferase 2-like
Exons: 7
Source: RefSeq, a predicted model, not a curated record